Molecule: non-coding RNA, 72 nt
Organism: Phrynosoma platyrhinos (Desert horned lizard)
Lineage: Eukaryota; Metazoa; Chordata; Lepidosauria; Squamata; Phrynosomatidae
Source: the annotation of a GenBank genome assembly
GCCGGUGUGGUGUAAUGGUUUGAGUGUCGGAUUACAACCCUGGAGGCCAGGGUUCGAACCCCUACUUCAGCA